CAUUGACUUAUCUUUCAAGUUUACUCAAAUAUGGUGUUCUGAAAGUCAGCCUUCAAAAUUAAUCACAUGCUUGUGUAACAGCCAGUUUAGCCUUCUCCUCUCUGCAUGUGAGAGGAGAAAUAUGAAAGGAGGAACAGAAUGAAGUCCAGGCCAAGAACAAAGAGUGGAAGAGGAAAGGGACGCUGCUGCUCCGUGAUGGAAAGAAGUAGCUAGAAGGAACGUUCAAGAAGAGUAGUCAAUGGGAAACUGGUGGAACUUCCAGUUAUAUUGAGAGAGGCUCUCAGCCAAGAGGAUACUGAAACCAGGGCCCAGAGGGGAUGGCCAUUAGAUAACUUUCUCAAAUAAGGUUUCUGGUGAGUGGAAGAG
Molecule: long non-coding RNA, 366 nt
Organism: Myotis lucifugus (little brown bat)
Lineage: Eukaryota; Metazoa; Chordata; Mammalia; Chiroptera; Vespertilionidae
Exons: 3
Source: RefSeq, a predicted model, not a curated record